This 527-nucleotide ribosomal RNA is filed under the name uncultured bacterium. RNAcentral's name for it is "partial 16S ribosomal RNA". It matches the Rfam family "Bacterial small subunit ribosomal RNA", at positions 28 to 522 of the family's 1533-position model. The record is from RNAcentral.
GACGAACGCUGGCGGCGCGCUUAACACAUGCAAGUCGAACGGAGUGUUUUAAGUUCUUCGGAACAUGAAUCACUUAGUGGCGAACGGGUGAGUAACACGUAGACAACCUACCCUUGAGAUGGGGACAACAUUCCGAAAGGAGUGCUAAUACCGAAUGAAGCCAACUGGUCGCAUGACUGGUUGAUGAAAGGUGGCCUCUAUUUAUAAGCUAUAGCUAAAGCAAGGGCGUGCGCGUGAUUAGCUAGUUGGAGGGGUAACGGCCCACCAAGGCAACGAUCAGUAGCCGGUCUGAGAGGACGAACGGCCACACUGGGACUGAGACACGGCCCAGACUCCUACGGGAGGCAGCAGUGGGGAAUCUUCCGCAAUGGACGAAAGUCUGACGGAGCGACGCCGCGUGGGUGAAGAAGGCCUUCGGGUUGUAAAGCCCUGUCAUUAGGGACGAAUGGCAGUAGGGAUAAUACUCCUAUUGUUUGACGGUACCUAAGGAGGAAGCCCCGGCUAACUACGUGCCAGCCGCCGCAUAA